Molecule: unclassified non-coding RNA, 155 nt
Filed under: uncultured Sympoventuriaceae
Lineage: Eukaryota; Fungi; Ascomycota; Dothideomycetes; Venturiales
Description: sequence contains ITS2
Source: RNAcentral
CACCCCCCAAGCCUUGCUUGAUGUUGGGCCAUGACGCGCUGUCAAGCCCCAAACCUUUAGGCGCCCCCUACUGGCCGCGAGCGUAGCAAGAAUUAUUUCCCUCGUUUCGCGUGUCCAAUGGGCGGGUUGCCGAUUGACCCCCUAAAUUUUACAAG